UGAGGAAUAUUGCGCAAUGGGGGAAACCCUGACGCAGCGACGCCGCGUGGAUGAUGAAGGCCUUUGGGUCGUAAAAUCCUGUCAGAUGGAAAGAAAUGCUAUUGGUUUAAUAUCCCUUUAGUUUGACGGUACCAUCAAAGGAAGCACCGGCUAACUCCGUGCCAGCAGCCGCGGUAAUACGGAGGGUGCAAGCGUUGUUCGGAAUUACUGGGCGUAAAGCGCGCGUAGGUGGUCUUAUAAGUCAGAUGUGAAAGUCCACGGCUCAACCGUGGAAGUGCAUUUGAUACUGCUUGACUCGAAUCUGGUAGAGGGUAGUGGAAUUCCAUGUGUAGCGGUGAAAUGCGUAGAUAUGUGGAGGAACAUCAGUGGCGAAGGCGGCUACCUGGACCAAGAUUGACGCUGAGGUACGAAAGCGUGGGGAGCAAACAGGAUUAGAGACCCUGGUAGUCCACGCUGUAAACGAUGAACACUAGGUGUAGCGGGUAUUGACCCCUGCUGUGCCGUAGCUAACGCAUUAAGUGUUCCGCCUGGGGAGUACGGUCGCAAGAUUAAAACUCAAAGGAAUUGACGG
RNAcentral lists this ribosomal RNA (571 nucleotides) under uncultured delta proteobacterium. RNAcentral's name for it is "bacterial SSU rRNA". It matches the Rfam family "Bacterial small subunit ribosomal RNA", at positions 355 to 916 of the family's 1533-position model. The record is from RNAcentral. Lineage: Bacteria; Deltaproteobacteria.